This 447-nucleotide ribosomal RNA is filed under the name uncultured bacterium. Its description in RNAcentral is "partial 16S ribosomal RNA". It matches the Rfam family "Bacterial small subunit ribosomal RNA", at positions 29 to 523 of the family's 1533-position model. The record is from RNAcentral.
AACGAACGCUGGCGGCAGGCUUAACACAUGCAAGUCGAACGCAUCGCAAGAUGAGUGGCAGACGGGUGAGUAACGCGUGGGAACAUACCCUUUUCUACGGAAUAGCUCUGGGAAACUGGAAUUAAUACCGUAUACGCCCUACGGGGGAAAGAUUUAUCGGGGAAGGAUUGGCCCGCGUUGGAUCAGCUAGUUGAUGGGGUAAAGGCCUACCAAGGCGACGAUCCAUAGCUGGUCUGAGAGGAUGAUCAGCCACAUUGGGACUGAGACACGGCCCAAACUCCUACGGGAGGCAGCAGUGGGGAAUAUUGGACAAUGGGCGCAAGCCUGAUCCAGCCAUGCCGCGUGAGUGAUGAAGGCCUUAGGGUUGUAAAGCUCUUUCACCGAUGAAGAUAAUGACGGUAGUCGGAGAAGAAGCCCCGGCUAACUUCGUGCCAGCCGCCGCGGUAA